AAAUUGAAGAGUUUGAUCAUGGCUCAGAUUGAACGCUGGCGGCAGGCCUAACACAUGCAAGUCGAACGGUAGCACAGAGAGCUUGCUCUCGGGUGACGAGUGGCGGACGGGUGAGUAAUGUCUGGGAAACUGCCUGAUGGAGGGGGAUAACUACUGGAAACGGUGGCUAAUACCGCAUAACGUCGCAAGACCAAAGAGGGGGACCUUCGGGCCUCUUGCCAUCAGAUGUGCCCAGAUGGGAUUAGCUUGUUGGUGAGGUAACGGCUCACCAAGGCGACGAUCCCUAGCUGGUCUGAGAGGAUGACCAGCCACACUGGAACUGAGACACGGUCCAGACUCCUACGGGAGGCAGCAGUGGGGAAUAUUGCACAAUGGGCGCAAGCCUGAUGCAGCCAUGCCGCGUGUAUGAAGAAGGCCUUCGGGUUGUAAAGUACUUUCAGCGGGGAGGAAGGUGUUGCGGUUAAUAACCGCAGCAAUUGACGUUACCCGCAGAAGAAGCACCGGCUAACUCCGUGCCAGCAGCCGCGGUAAUACGGAGGGUGCAAGCGUUAAUCGGAAUUACUGGGCGUAAAGCGCACGCAGGCGGUCUGUCAAGUC
RNAcentral lists this ribosomal RNA (597 nucleotides) under Salmonella enterica subsp. enterica serovar Amager. Its description in RNAcentral is "bacterial SSU rRNA". It matches the Rfam family "Bacterial small subunit ribosomal RNA", at positions 1 to 589 of the family's 1533-position model. The record is from RNAcentral. Lineage: Bacteria; Pseudomonadati; Pseudomonadota; Gammaproteobacteria; Enterobacterales; Enterobacteriaceae.